GGAGAGGUGUCUGAGUGGUUUAAAGUACCGCUCUCGAAAAGCGGAGUACCGCAAGGUACCGUGAGUUCGAAUCUCACCCUCUCCG
RNAcentral lists this transfer RNA (85 nucleotides) under Candidatus Magasanikiibacteriota bacterium. RNAcentral's name for it is "tRNA-Ser". It matches the Rfam family "tRNA". Rfam says of the family: Transfer RNA (tRNA) molecules are approximately 80 nucleotides in length. Their secondary structure includes four short double-helical elements and three loops (D, anti-codon, and T loops). The record is from RNAcentral. Lineage: Bacteria; Candidatus Magasanikiibacteriota.